This 1359-nucleotide unclassified non-coding RNA is filed under the name uncultured Neocallimastigales. RNAcentral's name for it is "partial contains internal transcribed spacer 1, 5.8S ribosomal RNA, internal transcribed spacer 2, and large subunit ribosomal RNA". The stretch from base 595 to 1359 matches the Rfam family "Eukaryotic large subunit ribosomal RNA", at positions 1 to 618 of the family's 3401-position model. The record is from RNAcentral. Lineage: Eukaryota; Fungi; Neocallimastigomycota; Neocallimastigomycetes; Neocallimastigales.
UAAAUAAUCCUACCCUUUGUGAAUUUUGUUUGUUUGAAUAAUUUUUUUUUUUUAAAAAAUUAUUGGAGUCUUUCCCUUUAGAGUUUGCUUUUGAGUUUGUAAAAGAAUUCGAAAACAUCUAAAGGGGAUGGUCAAUAAUUUUUUUUGAAAAAAGACAUUUUUUAAAAUUAAACUUUUUGUAUUCAUUUGUCUAAAAAUUAUUUUUAUAAUAUAAAAACAACUUUUGACAAUGGAUCUCUUGGUUCUCGCAACGAUGAAGAACGCAGCAAAAUGCGAUAAGUAGUGUGAAUUGCAGAUACGUGAAUCAUCGAAUCUUUGAACGCAUAUUGCACUUUUUUAGUUUACUAAAAAAGUAUGUCUGUUUGAGUAUCAGUAAAAUAUUCUCAUAAAAAUCAUUGUGUAUUUUUAUGGUUAUGAGUGUUUUACAACGAUACAAGUUGUUUCACUUUAAAUUUUUUUUAAUAUUGAAAUUUUUCUAAUUUUAAUAAUUAAAAUUGGAUAAAUUUUCCCGUCAAAAGGAAUAACCUAAACAAUUUUAAAUGAUUAAUUUUAGCAAAAUUUUCGUAAAAAAGGAAAAUUUUUAUUAAAAUAACUUGAUCUCAAAUCAGAUAAGAGUACCCGCUGAACUUAAGCAUAUCAAUAAGCGGAGGAAAAGAAACUAACAAGGAUUCCCUUAGUAACGGCGAGUGAAGCGGGAAGAGCUCAAAUUUGAAAUCUUCAAGGUUUUACCUUGACGAAUUGUAGUUUAAAGAUGUGUUUUCUGCUGAAGUUUUGGUAAAAGUUCUUUGGAAUAGGACAUCAUAGAGGGUGAGAAUCCCGUAUUUGACCAUUAUUUUCAGCUUUGUGAUACACUUUCAAAGAGUCGGAUUGUUUGGGAAUGCAGUCCAAAAUGGGUGGUAAAUUUCAUCUAAAGCUAAAUAUUGGCGAGAGACCGAUAGCGAACAAGUACCGUGAGGGAAAGAUGAAAAGAACUUUGAAAAGAGAGUUAAACAGUACGUGAAAUUGUCAAAAGGGAAGCGUUUGACACCAGUGUUGUUUUCUCGAAAAUCAAUUAAAAAUGGCUCGAUUUUGCAUUGCUGAGACCUUAAAAGCUCACUGUACAUUUUUCGUGUCUUUUUUAAUGCACUUUUCGUUUAACAAGUCAACAUCAGUUCUUUUGUUGUAAAAGGGUCAUUGGAAGGUGGCUUUCUUUUCGGAGAAAGUGUUUAUAGCCUUUGGCCUCUGCAAUCGGAGAGACUGAGGUCUGCAGCGUAGACUCUUCGGGUUAGAUACAUUUGUGCUAAGUUAUAGCUUUUUAUAGACAACUUGUUGACUAUAAUUAGUCUUGUAGCUUACUCGCUUAUGCUAUUUUACCUACGC